Molecule: long non-coding RNA, 4132 nt
Organism: Magnolia sinica
Lineage: Eukaryota; Viridiplantae; Streptophyta; Magnoliopsida; Magnoliales; Magnoliaceae
Exons: 2
Source: RefSeq, a predicted model, not a curated record
AAUCUCAUUCAUCGCUUGUAUCAGUUUCUCGAUCUUCAAAUCGACGGUCUCGAUUGCAUCGAUCGAAUGCAAUGGAGGUCCGGUUGUUGUGGACAUGGAUGGAGUAAGUACUCUUUUCAUGCACUUGCCUAGCACGUGGCAAAGAGGCACACGUGUGUGAGGCGGGAGCCGUUUAUCGGGCUGUCCCCACCGUGUAGAUGCAAAAACCAGGCUGUUCUGAUAAUCGGGUGGAUCGUGGCCCACCUGAUGAUCGGAUGUUUUCAAGAUCGGCACCGCUCAUUUUGCAGUUUGACUGUGUAGAUGCAGCAUCUGAAAAGCCGAUUGAUCUGAUCAUCAAGGGGCCCACAUGAUCAAUGGUCCGCACUGUGCAAUUGUUGAUCAGAUCUGUUUAUACAUGGUGAGGAUCGCCUUACGAGGAGCUGGUAGCUACCAUCGGACCCAUGCCUGCGUUGUUGCUGAGUUGCAGUUGUUCCUGCUCACUUAGCUUUCACCAUUGCCAAAUUGGUCGGUUUUGAUUAUCGAUCUGGACUGUCCAUUUGGUCUAUCUCAAUCUUCAUGGACCACCAUUGCAAAACCACAUCAAUCGGAUGGUUUUGUAAUUCCGGUUGAUGGGUUAAAAAGGAAUGGCUUGGAUUUCUCUGUCUGGGGUAUUUUUUCGAUCAAACAAUCCAGACCAUCUGUUUUGUAGCUUGGAAAAUGGAUAGUCAUAAAAUGAAGCGGUUGAUUGACGGGUUUUGAUAGGAUAUGCCUGCUUACCAUAUCACAGCUACCUUACUGGGGCAACUUGAUAGCUGUUGGCAUUUGAAUUUAAUGAUAUCAUGAAAUUUCAUUAUAUUUGGUGCAAGGAAAUGCAGCCUAUAAAGCAUUUGAAUUGCAGCAAUAGCAUUGCUAUGUGAUUGUCUUGAUUCUACUAUUGGGGAAUCUGAUCUAUUAUGAACUAGUAAGCUGAGCAUGUGAAAUAAUUUUGAAGUAGGGUAGCUUGUAAGCUGUAAUUAGGGUGGCAACUAGGCUGGCUGGAGUCGGAGUGUUGAGGUCUAUUGUGUUUGAACUGGGUUUUUGGUCCAAUGACCAAUUUGGCUUUACUUGCCCUUGCAUUUGCCCUAAGGUCCGACAAGUGGGCCAGGCAUAGCUUGACUUGCUUUACAUAGGUGGGUUAAGCAUUUGGCCACUAGACUGCUUGGUUCAAGCCAGAUUUGUUAGCUCAUGGGCUUGGCUGUCCCAGGCUUGGACUCAGGUCGAUAUGUCAUUGAGCAGGCUUGAAUAUGCUUCAGUCUGGUCUAGCUUGAGGCCUACUUGCUACACUACUUACACUACUUGCUACCCUACUUAAGAAAAUUGCAGACAUAAAACUUGGAGAGUAAAACAGCGAGAGACAUAACAUGUUUAAAUAUUUAUAUAUUUUAGAGACAAAAUGUCAAGCACAACUGAAUUGCUAUGUAUGUUGGACACAGACCAGUGUGUCAGAUAGAUAUCUGGGGUGGUGGACACAAUGGCUUUUAGAAAUUAGAUUUGCCGAUAUGUCAUUGAAAAUACUUAGAUAUUCAAUUUUAUUAAUAUUAUUGAAUUACAUUGGUGGAAUAGGAUUUUUAAAGCCAACACUAAAUUGCUGGUCUAUUUUAUGUCAUUAUUCUAGAGUCCAGCUAGUGUCAUCUACUAUCUUGAAAAGUUGUAGAGAGAUUUUCUUUGGAGGGGAAGGGAAGCAGAAAAAAAUGACACUUGAGGAGGUGGUGAGAAGUUUGUAAGCCUCAGGCUUUUGGUGGAGUUGGUAUCAAAGAUUCGAAAUCUAUGUAUGAAUCAAGUGCUUCUUGAAAAAUGGUUAUGGAGAUUUGGGAUUGAAGAAGAUAACUUAUGAAAACAAAUUAUAGCAUGCAAGUAUGGGGAAUAAGAAGGAAGUCAGUCCACAUUUGUCUUCUAGAUACUAGACCUUCUUUAAGAAUCUAAUGGAUGAUGAGAUUUAGAACCUUGCCACGUUGUUGGAUCGCAUUCGUGGUUUAAUUGCUUGUUUUCUUGAGCAUGAUAAAUAGUGGUGGAAGUUCAAAAGCUCCAAAAAUUUCUCAAUGAGCCAUUCUUUUCCUUGAAAGCAGAGUGUGUGGGGGUGCCUGCAUCACCUCAACUAAUAUAUGGAAUUACCUUCAUCCUCCAUUGUUACUUCUUUUAGAUGGUUAGUGGCAAAUAACAAAUUCAUAAACAUUGACCAUUUGCACAAGAGGAAUAUGAUGAUUGCAAAUGCAUGCAUUAUGAGAUGCGAAUUUAAUGCAGAGGCAUUUUCACACUGGGCUCGAGUGGGGUCGCUUGUUGGAUGCAGGGGCACACUCGGGGUGGGUGACCCAUGCGAUUUGGGGCCCACGGGGGAGGUCUCGUGUUCGAGACUCCUUGCCAGGGGUGAUUAAUGCGCAUUUCACACCGAACUCGAGUGGGGUAGCUUGUGGGAUGUGGGGACACACUCGAGGUGGGCGGCUCAUGUGAUUUGGGGGCCCACGAAGGGAAUUCGGUCGAGGUCCUAACCCAUGAGAUGUGGGGCCUGGGCUAUGAGAUAAAGGGAUUAAUUCGCUAUACUCUAACAGUUCAAGCUUUUAGAGCAAGUGGUUAAUUGUCCUGCAUCAAAUUGGUAUCAAAGCGGAAGGUCUCAUGUUCGAGACUCCUCACUGGGGGUGAUUAAUGCAGGGGCAUUUUCACACUGGGCUCGAGUGGGGUCGCCUGUUGGAUGUAGGGGCACACUCGGGGUGGGUGACCCAUGCGAUUUGGGGCCCACGGGGGAGGUCUCGUGUUUGAGACUCCUUACCAAUGGUGAUUAAUGCGCAUUUCACACCGGGCUCGAGUGGGGUAGCCCGUGGGAUGCGGGGAAACACUCGGGGUGGGGGACCCAUAUGAUUUGAGACCCACGAAUGGGGUUCGGCCGAGGUCCUAACCCAUGAGAUGUGGGGUCUGGGUUAUGAGAUAAAGGGAUUAAUUCGCCAUACUCUAACAGUUCGAGCUUUUAGAGCAAGUUGUUAAUUGUCCUGCAUCAGAAUUGUGUGUAAUAGGGUGUUGUAUGCAUCCCGUCUAGUGAUGACAUGCCCCCCAAUGACAAAGCGCCAUGUUUUUGUGUUAAAUGUGGGAUUCACAUUAAAAAGUAACACUUGCAUGAAAUGACGAUUUUGCCUUUUCCAUUGUGGGUCCUAUGCGUAACACACUCACCUAAUGCUUUGUCAUUGGGGGCACGCCAUGUGCCUUAAGGGCGCAGAAUUAAUAAACCAUCUAUCUCAGUUCAUUGUGCGGUUGCUUCAGUAGUAUGGACUAAGGUUCUGGUUGGCAGCCCCAUUCACAUGUGAAGUGGGUUAUGCUAGGUGAUUUACCCUGCUGCAGCCUGCAUGCAAUCUAUAUCCUACAUUAUGUACCUUUAAGGUUCAGAAUCAAUUAACCAUCUAUCUGUUUAGUUCAUUCUGAGGUUGCUUCAGUAACGUGGACUAAGGUUCUGGUCCGUCCUAUUCAAUGUGAAGUGGGUUAUGCUAGGUGAUGCAGACAUUGUGGCAUUGGCCCAUGUGACUAGACAUGAUCACGUAACGGGCGGGCUCCACUGCAUUGUAUACACUAGCUGGUGUUGACAUUAGAAUUUUGCCUAAGGUCAAUCUGUGGUAACCAUCAUUGGUUAGUGCAGGGCGUUUGACGCUCAUCUACAAGCUAGUGUGGGACUAGGUUACAAACUAACUAAGGUCAGUGCAAGACCAUUUAUGGCAUUCCACGCGAAUGGUUAGGGUAGGGCCAGUGCAGGUCCAUUAUUCACUCACUCUGCUCACUAUUUAAGGACAACACAAAACGCCUUUGGCACAUUCUACGACAAUGGUUAAGGCUUAACGUGAGUCCUCUGGCAUCCACUCUGCCCACAUUAUCCAAGGGUAGCAUGGAAUGGUAGUGGAUAGUUUCCAAGGCACCAAAAGUGUAGUUUGCGCUCACUGUUUAAGGACAGCGUGAAACCUAUGUAGGCCGAACCACACCAACUGUUUGUGAUCAGUGUGGUACCAAUUUCCUUGACAGGAGUUCACUCCAUGCCAACGGCCAAGGCUAGUGUUGGAUUACAUUUUGCACCUAUGCGUGCUAACGGAAAGUACUUCAAGUCGUCCAAUGGCAGCUUGACACGUGUUAAUAAUUGCCU